GAUGAACGCUGGCGGCAUGCCUAACACAUGCAAGUCGAUCGGUAAGGCUCUUCGGAGUACACGAGAGGCGGACGGCUGAGUAACGCGUAGGAACACACCCUGCAGUGAGGGAUAAGACACCGAAAGGUGUUCUAAUACCGCAUACGGUCUUCGGAUUAAAGCAUUUAUGCGCUGAAGGAGUGGCCUGCGUCAUAUUAGAUAGUUGGUGAGGUAAUGGCUCACCAAGUCGAUGAUGUGUAGCUGGUCUGAGAGGAUGAUCAGCCAGACUGGAACUGAGACACGGUCCAGACUCCUACGGGAGGCAGCAGUGAGGAAUAUUUCACAAUGAGCGAAAGCUUGAUGGAGCAAUGCCGCGUGCAGGAUGAAGGCCCUCGGGUUGUAAACUGCUUUUAUAAGAGAAGAUUAUGACGGUAACUGAUGAAUAAGAGACGGCUAACUACGUG
RNAcentral lists this ribosomal RNA (443 nucleotides) under uncultured bacterium. RNAcentral describes it as "partial 16S ribosomal RNA". It matches the Rfam family "Bacterial small subunit ribosomal RNA", at positions 28 to 507 of the family's 1533-position model. The record is from RNAcentral.